CUUCCUUUACGGGACCCCAUUUCUUGGAAUGUUUUUCUUGCAUCUGCAGCAGGGCACAGAUCAGAGUGCUAGUCUGAGUUAAAAAGAAAUGUUCUUCUGAGGACUAGUUUUAAUUGAAAUCCAUUUCCUGGUUCAGUUUAACACAGGGCUACACUGCAUGUGUACAAUUCAGGGGCAGCGUGAAGGGGAAAACAAGAGGAAUGGAGGAGUGCAUGGUGGGGAAUGCAUAAGUAGAGACUUCUACCAAAAAAACUUGUCAAACUAUGUCCUGAAAGACUUUGUUCUUGAAGCCAGAAGCACCUCUUUGCUUUGUGUUCAGCUAGCACCUUGUGCAAAGGGAUCACAGUUGCAGAGCUCUCAGGACUCUCGGAGCUAUUGUAAUACCAAAAAAUAAUAAGCGUUCCUACAGACUGACACAAUUAACCAAAUUCCACUUGCAGAUCUUCAUUGUUGGCAACUUGUGCAGCAUUUUAUGUAGCCAAAGCUGGAGACUAGUUCUAUUCCUGAGUUCUGUCUCUGGUUCUAAUGAGGAAUAACUGAAUGACUCUGGCAUUCAGUUAACCUACCAAUAAAGGAAUUACUUUCCUCACAGAGCUUUUUUAUACUGAACUACAUUUUUUUAAUGAGCUUUGACAUUCUCAGAUGAAAGGAGUAAUGUGUACAAUGUAUUAUUAGAGCAAAAAUUAUAUAUGACAGAUCUCGAGGUAUUUUCCUCCUUUUUGUUUCACCUUUUGUCACUGUACUCCUACACAAGACUCAAGGCACACAUCAAAUGUUUGAAUAAUGCCAACAUGAAACUAAAGGAUUGUAAAUAACGUACUCGCUCUUCACCGAGCAAUGCUCCAUGCGUUUAUUUUAAUCUGAUAUUUCCUGGAUAGAAACAGAGGUUACUCCCCCUGAGAGUUCAAAUAUCGAUAGUGCUCUCCAUAGCAAGGGAAGGCUCACAAUUCCCACAAAAACAGCUGCUGCUUGGUAACGAGACAAUGGGACAGAAUACGCAGAGUGUAAAAUUAGAGUCUUUACUGCUCUUCCUGAGGGGCCAAAGCUUGAAGUGUCACUCAACUUCGUUUAGGAUUCAGCAAGAGUUUUCCUGUCAUAGGACAGAGGAAAUAAAUAAGAGUUGUUAAACUUUUAUAAAUAAAUAAGAGUUGCAGGAGUUGGCCAGAGUUAAAAUCCUAGAAAGCACGUGUUUGUAAGUUCUGUUUGUAGACAAAUUGGAUCCUUCUUAAUUUUCCCACAAGUGGAACAGAGAGAGAUGAUCAUCUGAAGGUCUCCUUGCAGGAAACCCCCAAAAGAACAAAGUAAGUUCCGUGUCCUCAGCGUCGCUCUAUCCCCACUGCUUAGUUAUCCUAAAGCUCUGAUUCAGCUUUCAUACAAAUUUAUAGCACUGUAAUUUCCACCCAUUUUGAUCCAGAUCUACUAUGUCUAGUUAGAAGGACUUGAGCACUCGAGCUUCCACCCUAGCUGUGAGGAAAUCAGUUUUUCUUCAAACAGAGCCAAAAUCAGGGGCUAGCAGCUACUUCUCCUGUUAAUUAUUUCAGGGCCUUCCUCAUAAAAAUGUGGUUGGCACAGCUAUUCCAGAAUAACUCCCGGUAUUAUUAUUGCAGUGUUUUCCUUUGAAAGUGUCCCUGUUAGCGAUCGAUCACUCUACCCAGGAAUACUUCUUGGAAGCUGUCAGUUUUUCCAACUUCUAUUUAGAGCUUUCAUGACGCAGGAGCGUCCGUAGUAAAAGAAAGCCUCAAACAUAAACAUAAAACCAACCGCAAAAGGUAUUAUUUAAUCACCAGAUAUUGCAAAUAGCCUCUAGUUUUUCAGACGUUUUCUGUGGAACUGUUCUGGCUGUAUUAAGCUUGGCUGAAGUCUUCCAGAUGGAUUGGCCCUAAUACUGGCCUGUAAAACUAGGAACUGUGUAUCCCUCCUGGUAGGAUUUGAACAUCUCCAGGUGUGAAUGCAUCGAGGAGAUCUAAGUAUCUGCCCUUAUAACGCCCUGCAGGUGCUGCAGAUAGCAAAGAGCCACCUUUGCAUGUGCCAAUACAUGUUUUCAAACAAGAACUUUUGCACAUUUCAGAUCUCGUCUUGACCUGUGAACUCCUCAGGCUAAAAUAAAUGGAUAUCCACAUCUGGAAGAGGUGAUAGCGCAUCUGGACAGACUUUUAAAAAUGUUACGUCAGCCUUUUUGUCUCUGGUGUCUGGGAACAAGAACAAGUGUUAUAUGACCGCCCAGCUCUUCGUAAAUUACUGUCAAGUGCUCUGGUAAGUUAAAAAUGCUGGUACAGGAAAAAAAUAAAAGUCAGGUUUAGCAACUACGUCGCACGGGAACUUUGCCAAAAGUUAAGGGAAAAAAAAAUCCAAACGAAUCUUUGGAUUUAUUCAAAUGUAUAAUAUUAGUCACUCUUUGCUGUCUGUGUUACUGAACCACCUUCCAGCUUCAAAGGCAGUUAUUAAUCCAGAAAUAUUUUCAUCUGAGGGUUUAGAUUGCAACAACUGUGAGGACACGUGGAAGAUUCUUCCAUCAUUAUCUAACCAUUCAGACCUAAUGUGAGUACUCGACUGGGAAGGCCUGUGACUAGUGGAGAUGAAUAAACAGUUGGAGG
Oxyura jamaicensis (ruddy duck) is the source of this 2594-nucleotide long non-coding RNA. RefSeq lists it as uncharacterized. The transcript is spliced from 2 exons. The record is from RefSeq and is a predicted model, not a curated record. NCBI's taxonomy places the organism in Eukaryota, Metazoa, Chordata, Aves, Anseriformes, Anatidae.